RNAcentral lists this long non-coding RNA (208 nucleotides) under Elaeis guineensis (African oil palm). RNAcentral's name for it is "long non-coding RNA (EGUI_LNC034561)". The record is from RNAcentral. Lineage: Eukaryota; Viridiplantae; Streptophyta; Magnoliopsida; Arecales; Arecaceae.
GGGCAGAAUAAGUCAUAGCGGAUGAUAAGCUCAGGGGCUCAAUAGCUUAAGGAUGCGAUAGACCUCAAGGAGAUGGGAGAGGAAAGGGGCAUGUGAGUGAAAGUGCCCAUCUACACUAACCGAGUGGAGGAUGACGACUAGAGAGGGGGCAAUGGGGUCAACCAACUCAAGUGUUGGAGGCAUUGAAGGAAUGAAAUUUUCUAAGGGG